CGCGGCCUAUCAGCUUGUUGGUGGGGUAAUGGCCUACCAAGGCUUCGACGGGUAGCCGGCCUGAGAGGGCGACCGGCCACACUGGGACUGAGACACGGCCCAGACUCCUACGGGAGGCAGCAGUGGGGAAUAUUGCGCAAUGGGCGAAAGCCUGACGCAGCAACGCCGCGUGAGGGAUGACGGCCUUCGGGUUGUAAACCUCUUUCAGCAGGGACGAAGCGAAAGUGACUGUACCUGCAGAAGAAGCGCCGGCUAACUACGUGCCAGCAGCCGCGGUAAUACGUAGGGCGCAAGCGUUGUCCGGAUUUAUUGGGCGUAAAGAGUUCGUAGGCGGUCUGUCGCGUCGGAAGUGAAAACCCGGAGCUCAACUCCGGGCCUGCUUUCGAUACGGGCAGACUUGAGUGUUGCAGGGGAGACUGGAAUUCCUGGUGUAGCGGUGGAAUGCGCAGAUAUCAGGAGGAACACCGGUGGCGAAGGCGGGUCUCUGGGCAACAACUGACGCUGAGGAACGAAAGCGUGGGGAGCGAACAGGAUUAGGUACCCUGGUAGUCCACGCUGUAAACGGUGGGCACUAGGUGUGGGGACCAUUCCACGGUCUCUGCGCCGCAGCUAACGCAUUAAGUGCCCCGCCUGGGGAGUACGG
RNAcentral lists this ribosomal RNA (643 nucleotides) under uncultured bacterium. RNAcentral describes it as "bacterial SSU rRNA". It matches the Rfam family "Bacterial small subunit ribosomal RNA", at positions 232 to 885 of the family's 1533-position model. The record is from RNAcentral.